RNAcentral lists this ribosomal RNA (611 nucleotides) under Natrialba aegyptia. RNAcentral describes it as "bacterial SSU rRNA". It matches the Rfam family "Archaeal small subunit ribosomal RNA", at positions 48 to 660 of the family's 1478-position model. Lineage: Archaea; Methanobacteriati; Methanobacteriota; Halobacteria; Halobacteriales; Natrialbaceae. The record is from RNAcentral.
GCCAUGCUAGUCGCACGAGUUCAGACUCGUGGCAGAUAGCUCAGUAACACGUGGCCAAACUACCCUAUAGAUCCGGCCAACCUCGGGAAACUGAGGCUAAUCCGGGAUAACGCUUUCAGCCUGGAGUGGCGAGAGCGUGAAACGCUCCGGCGCUAUAGGAUGUGGCUGCGGCCGAUUAGGUAGACGGUGGGGUAACGGCCCACCGUGCCAGUAAUCGGUACGGGUUGUGAGAGCAAGAGCCCGGAGACGGUAUCUGAGACAAGAUACCGGGCCCUACGGGGCGCAGCAGGCGCGAAACCUUUACACUGCACGCGAGUGCGAUAAGGGGACUCCAGGUGCGAGGGCAUAUAGUCCUCGCUUUUCUCGACCGUAGGGAGGUCGAGGAACAAGUGCUGGGCAAGACCGGUGCCAGCCGCCGCGGUAAUACCGGCAGCACAAGUGAUGACCGCUGUUAUUGGGCCUAAAGCGUCCGUAGCUGGCCAGACAAGUUCAUCGGGAAAUCUGUGCGCCUAACGCACAGGCGUCCGGUGGAAACUGCCUGGCUUGGGACCGGAAGACCAGAGGGGUACGUCUGGGGUAGGAGUGAAAUCCCGUAAUCCUGGACGGACCAC